Molecule: ribosomal RNA, 493 nt
Filed under: uncultured Gammaproteobacteria bacterium
Lineage: Bacteria; Pseudomonadati; Pseudomonadota; Gammaproteobacteria
Description: bacterial SSU rRNA
Rfam family: Bacterial small subunit ribosomal RNA
Source: RNAcentral
AAUGAACGCUGGCGGUAGACUUAACACAUGCAAGUCGGACGGUAGCAGGAAAUAAGUUUACUUAUUUUGCUGACGAGUGGCGGACGGGUGAGUAACGCGUGGGAAUCUAUCCUAUAGUUGGGGACAACGUAUGGAAACGUACGCUAAUACCGAAUACGCUCUACGGAGUAAAGGAGCCCUCUUCAUGAAAGGUUUCGCUAUAGGAUGAGCCCGCGUAAGAUUAGCUAGUUGGUGAGGUAAUGGCUCACCAAGGCGACGAUCUUUAGCUGGUUUGAGAGGAUGAUCAGCCACACUGGGACUGAGACACGGCCCAGACUCCUACGGGAGGCAGCAGUGGGGAAUAUUGGACAAUGGACGAAAGUCUGAUCCAGCCAUACCGCGUGUGUGAAGAAGGCCUUCGGGUUGUAAAGCACCUUCAGUUGGGAGGAAGAUUAAGUAGUUAAUACCUGCUUAGUUUGACGUUACCUUCAGAAGAAGCACCGGCUAACUCUGU